CUUUUCCAAUACUCUGUAAACGCCUGGCCCUCCAGCUCUGAGGAAUGGGCUCAGGACCGAGCAUGGGAGCUAGUUAGGUCCAGUAAACAGAAGGGAAGUACAGUGAGAGCUUCCAGGGAGAAUGUUCUUGUGUUUAUGGGAGAGCUUCAGGGAACACCCUUCUCUCUCUCUCACCGGACACUGCUGAGCCUGGAAACAGCUCCCAGCCUGCGGACAGAACUACAUACAGAGGAAGGCAGAAGAUGAAGGCACAGUCCAGGGGUGGGCAAAGGUUCUUUUCCUAGGGGAAAUAUAGCCAUGGACAGUGGGAUUCUGCCUAAAGCAAGCUCUUGGCAGGUGCAGGUGGUAAUGGGGACAGAAGGCAGCCAUAGCAAGGUCUUGGCCCUAGUCCUGUGCUUUGUUGAUCACACUCAUCCCUGCCUCUCUCUACUCAACACCUUGGGGGCAAUCUUCACACCUCAGAGCUCCUUGCCCACUGAUUUCUGACUGGAAUUACUCCACAGAAGGUGCUGGAGGAAGAUGGGAGCAGGAAGCUGCUGCCAUGUCCCCAUCAGUGCUCAGCAACCCGGGAAGGAGGCAGAGGCUUUGUGGCUUCUCUACCACUUUAGGCCAAAGACUGUAUCUAAGGCAGGAGGGGGCCUGAGGAGAGACACCACCAGCUUCAGGUGCCCUUACCUCACGUCGCUGCUGUUUGCCUGGAGCCAUAGCACAGCCAGAUGCCGAAGUUCUUCACACGCGGUGGUGAUUUCUAGACACCUGUCCACAAUACAGUAUCUCCCCAGACGACUUCUUCAUCUUCUUCAGCUGCCACACGAAAUACCAGAAGUGGGACUUGGCCACCACAUGGUUGGGUGAGAAGAUGCCCAUUCGGUAUAGUGGUGGUGUGUGGCACUUUCGGGAUGGGCAAGCAGCGCCCCACCACCUUGUACUCUCGAAGCAUGCUCGAGGCCUUCAGGGCGGUUGUUCCUCCUUGGCGGCGAGUCACAAAAGGA
This 992-nucleotide long non-coding RNA is filed under the name Cricetulus griseus (Chinese hamster). RNAcentral describes it as "lncRNA (ENSCGRG00015042221.1)". Lineage: Eukaryota; Metazoa; Chordata; Mammalia; Rodentia; Cricetidae. The record is from RNAcentral.